AUUGAACGCUGGCGGUAGGCCUAACACAUGCAAGUCGAACGCGAAAGUCCUUCGGGAUGAGUAGAGUGGCGGACGGGUGGAGUAACGCGUAGGAAUCUAUCCUGUAGUGGGGGAUAACGUUUCGAAAGGAACGCUGAUACCGCAUACGCCCCAAGGGGGAAAGCGGGGGAUCUUCGGACCUCGUGCUAUAGGAGGAGCCUGCGUCGGAUUAGCUAGUUGGUGAGGUAAAGGCUCACCAAGGCGACGAUCCGUAGCUGGUCUGAGAGGAUGAUCAGCCACACCGGAACUGAGACACGGUCCGGACUCCUACGGGAGGCAGCAGUGGGGAAUAUUGCGCAAUGGGCGAAAGCCUGACGCAGCCAUACCGCGUGUGUGAAGAAGGCCUCGGUUGUAAG
This 395-nucleotide ribosomal RNA is filed under the name uncultured bacterium. Its description in RNAcentral is "bacterial SSU rRNA". It matches the Rfam family "Bacterial small subunit ribosomal RNA", at positions 30 to 429 of the family's 1533-position model. The record is from RNAcentral.